This 351-nucleotide long non-coding RNA is filed under the name Pongo abelii (Sumatran orangutan). Its description in RNAcentral is "lincRNA". The record is from RNAcentral. Lineage: Eukaryota; Metazoa; Chordata; Mammalia; Primates; Hominidae.
CUUUUCAAAUAAGAGACCUGGGGGAUUUUAGAACAGGGUUUUCAAGGUAAUGGAGGAAGAGAAUCUUCUUUGGACUUCUUUUUGCUUCAGAUGUGGAGAAGGCAACUUCCCGGAGUCUCUACCAGUGAGAAGGCUACAGAAUCAUGGGUAGAUAAGGUGUCGCUCUGUGGCCAUAGCUCACUGCAGCCUCAAAUUCCUGCGCUCAAGUAAUCCUCCCACCUCAGCUUCCCAAGUAGAUGGGACUACAGGUAACAUUCUUCUACCAGGAAGAGGGAGAUUGACUAUUUUAUCAGUCAUUAAUUUUGCUCCAAAUAACCCCGUGAUUUUGGAUGAUUGAUUAUGGGAAUGCUG